Molecule: ribosomal RNA, 607 nt
Filed under: uncultured bacterium
Lineage: Bacteria
Description: bacterial SSU rRNA
Rfam family: Bacterial small subunit ribosomal RNA
Source: RNAcentral
CCAGACUCCUACGGGAGGCAGCAGUAGGGAAUCUUCCGCAAUGGACGCAAGUCUGACGGAGCAACGCCGCGUGAGUGAAGAAGGUUUUCGGAUCGUAAAACUCUGUUGUUAGAGAAGAACAAGUGCUAGAGUAACUGUUAGCGCCUUGACGGUAUCUAACCAGAAAGCCACGGCUAACUACGUGCCAGCAGCCGCGGUAAUACGUAGGUGGCAAGCGUUGUCCGGAUUUAUUGGGCGUAAAGCGAGCGCAGGCGGUUCCUUAAGUCUGAUGUGAAAGCCCCCGGCUCAACCGGGGAGGGUCAUUGGAAACUGGGGAACUUGAGUGCAGAAGAGGAGAGUGGAAUUCCAUGUGUAGCGGUGAAAUGCGUAGAUAUAUGGAGGAACACCAGUGGCGAAGGCGACUCUCUGGUCUGUAACUGACGCUGAGGCUCGAAAGCGUGGGUAGCAAACAGGAUUAGAUACCCUGGUAGUCCACGCCGUAAACGAUGAGUGCUAAGUGUUAGACCCUUUCCGGGGUUUAGUGCCGCAGCUAACGCAUUAAGCACUCCGCCUGGGGAGUACGACCGCAAGGUUGAAACUCAAAGGAAUUGACGGGGGCCCGCACAAG